CAGUCGCCGCGGUAAGACAGAAGAUGCAAGCGUUAUCCGGAAUGAUUGGGCGUAAAGCGUCUGUAGGUGGCUUUUCAAGUCCACCGUCAAAUCCCAGGGCUCAACCCUGGACAGGCGGUGGAAACUACCAAGCUAGAGUACGGUAGGGGCAGAGGGAAUCUCCGGUGGAGCAGUGAAAUGCGUUGAGAUCGGAAAGAACACCAACGGCGAAAGCACUCUGCUGGGCCGACACUGACACUGAGAGACGAAAGCUAGGGGAGCAAAUGGGAUUAGAUACCCCUGUAGUCCCUGUCUCUUAUAC
Molecule: ribosomal RNA, 301 nt
Filed under: uncultured bacterium
Lineage: Bacteria
Description: partial 16S ribosomal RNA
Rfam family: Bacterial small subunit ribosomal RNA
Source: RNAcentral